CCCCUGGUGGCUCAGCGGUAGAGAAUCUGCCUGCAGCGCAGAAGACACAGGUUCAAUCCCUAGGUGGGGAA
Molecule: transfer RNA, 71 nt
Filed under: Ovis aries (sheep)
Lineage: Eukaryota; Metazoa; Chordata; Mammalia; Artiodactyla; Bovidae
Rfam family: tRNA
About the family: Transfer RNA (tRNA) molecules are approximately 80 nucleotides in length.
Source: Rfam by way of RNAcentral